AAUAAUUUGCUCAAAAAGGGUGUUACGUUUUCUCAGCAUAACAUCUUUUUCAAAAUCAGUUACAACAGCAGAAAUAAAUCUUAACACAUCAUCAAUUGUAUCAUGAAUAACUUCAUUUUAAAUCAUAAAAUAAAUAGUUUAAUAACUCGCAUAACAAAAAGCAUAAAAAUGUAUUCCCAUCUCAAUGUAACAUUAUCAGAGCGACACAAGAAACUAAGAAACUCAAAACGAUAAACAACGAAGAAGGCCACUAUACCAUCCUCCAAUACAAGCAACAACUAAAUCUCCUCUACCUGAGUAUCUGCAUCAUAGGCGUAAAGACAACACAAAGAACAAAUAGGGAGUGAGAAUAUAUUCACAUAUGUUAAUGGUGCAUAAAACAGUAAGGAUAGUACAAUUAGAAUAGAUAAUCAAUAAUACCAUUCAUCCACAAUAAUAAUCAUUCAUAAAUUUAAGUAUGUAUGCAAUGUAUUCAUCUCUUUUACUCCAAUGCAUGUGGUACCAAGGUUUUAUAUGUCAGAGGUACGCUACUGAUUAAUCUAUUCGUCGUUGUUUCCUCUCUAAACCUAAAACUCGUCACUUGUUCCUCUAUGAACCUGAAAUUCAUCACUAGAUAAAUUCCUAACUUACCACUGGACCGAAGUCUUACCUAUCUCUGAUAUACAUGAUGCAUGGAUGCAACAACAAUAUAAAUGCAAUACUCGUCUCAACCUACAACUCCAAUACUCGUCACUGGUAACUCCUACAUGUCACUGGUUCUUUCAAAUCUAAACACAUCAUCAUCAAAUAAUUUCCAAUAUAAGGCAACAUCAUUGGUUCCUCUCGAACCUAAAACUCGGAAUUAUCACCAAUACAAGGCCACAUCAAUGGUUCCACUGAACCAAAACAUCCCAGCAUAAACUCAACAUUUUCCCUCCUCAUGAUACAUUCAUCAUAAUCUCAACAUAACAAUUAACAUUAUUUAAUUUCUCAUCACUACUCAUCAACAACAUCAAAACAACAUCAAACAAUCUUCAAUACUCAAUAAGGCAUGUUCAUAACAAUAACAGAACAUCACAAUUAACUUUAACAACUUCUAUUUAAAGGUUAAGGGUUAUAAGCAUAUCCUUUAAGAUCUCAAGGACAACUCUAAUUCAACUUAUUUACUUCUCAAACUCAAAUCUAAACAUUUCAAACUCAACUUUAAACAUAUUAAUAACUCAAGCUCAACUCAUUUAAUUAUCAAACUCAAGUCUAAACACAUCAAAUAACUCAAACUCAACUCUAAACAUAUCAAAUAGCUCAAACUCAACUCUAAACAUAUCAAAUAACUCAAACUCAACUCUAAACAUAUCAAAUGACUCAAACUUAUCUCCAAAAAUAUCCACAUCUUAUUUAACACAAAUAUAUCAUCAAAAUAUUGGGUCAAUGUCAACAACUUAAAUCACAUAGCAUCUUAUCAAAACAACCCCAAAAUGAUCCAUUUCUACUACACAAAAAAACAUGAAUAUCAUGACAGCGCCAGUCAGAAACUCAUUUUCAUGGAAUCUAAAGGUCAUCCUAAAGCAAAGGCGGUAAGUCAUUCAUCUGCAGGAUUGGAAUUUAAUUAUGCAUCAACCUAAAUUGCAAACUAGGAAAAUAUACAAUGGCCCUAAAGGAGUAGUAUCAUGUGGUGAGUUGGAUAAAACUCCUCAAUGUCAACAUAGUUAGACCUAGAUCCAUCUUUGUCCUCUGGAUGGCAUGCCAAGACAGAUUAGCAACCAAAGAAAGGUUGCACCAAUUUGGGAUGAUUGAUAACGUCACAUGUUAUUUUUGCAGGAAUCAGGGGACUAUUCAACACAUUUCUUCUCUUUCCCAACCCUAAAAAUUAUAUGGGACCAUGUCUUGAAUUUGUUACAAAUAAGUUAUACUCCAGAAGGUUGGAAGGAAGAAUUAAACUGGAUCAUCAAAAAUUGCAAAGGAAAUGGUUGGAGAGCAAUAAUCCUGAAGUGUGCUUUUACAGAAACCAUUUAUGAGAUAUGGAAGCUCAUAAAUCUCCAUUUCUUUGGAAAUAGAGUUAGCAAUACCACUAUUGGCCUGUAUGUCAUAGAUAUAAUUGUGUAUAGGUUAUGGAUAAAACCAAAGCUUAGACACCAUAUUGGUAGACUAAUGUUGCCUUAGUUCUUGCUUUGUCUAGUUUUAUUGUUGGCUUAUUUCGCUGGACCUUUUGGUUGCCUUGCUUUGUAUAUCUUUUGGUUGAGUACUAAAAUUUAUGCUACUAAAAAAAAAGCCCAAAGUCAUGUUUCCUGCUAGUCAUAUAUCAUAUUUGAAUAAUUAUUUAAAAUAUCAAACAGAGUCGGAAUCAAGCAAAUGAGUAUGUUUCGGAAAGUUUAGAGAGUAUAUUUUAAGACUAUGGUUUUUAUUUUAGGAAUUAAGAUCCCAAUCAGUACAGUUUAAUCAAACAAUAGGAAUUGAUACAGGCAUCAAGCAGAAUGUUUCGUUGGACUUGUAACUAGUAUCUCUCUUAUUGAACUUGGUGGAAUAUGAUGAUCAUUAAGUCUAAUAUGUAGGAAGUUUUAUCUAUUUUAUUAUUAUAUAAGGUUUACUCUUAAAGGACUUUUGUAGAAUGAGUUGUGUCUAAAAUACUAACAACAUGUCAAAUAGUUGUGUUGUAGAGUCUUCAAAAUAUUAACUGAAGUUGAAAUUCAAUUUUCUAGCAUUUUUCACAACGAAAUUGAUCUAGAUCGAAGUCUAUCUCAUGUUAAAUAUUGUCUGGUUUCUAACGGUCUCAGUUUCAUUCUUAAAAGAUCUAGGUAACUAAAGUUAUAAGCAAAUGCAUAACUGGGUAUACUAACAACAAGUUGUAGAAAUUAAUCGACAUAUGGUAACAACAUUACUUAAACACCUAUUAUCAAGGCUAAUCAUCCUACACCAUUGGUUCGAUAUCUAAUUUCUCAAAUUAAAUACACUUUUGUUCAAUUUCAAUACUAAACUCACGUCAUGAACAAAUUACUACUUUCUAUAAUGAUAUUCAUAUAAACAUCAUAAGAAUAUACCAUAUUCACAACAUCAUCCUCACGUAUAAACAUCAUAAGACAUUACCAUAAUCACAACAUCUUAUACACAUUUAAAUCUCAUUAAUUCAUUACCCUAAGAAAGAUUUAUGUCUUAACUUUCCAACGCACCUCAAACGGGCUUACGAAACUCAAGUUAUGCGUGAAAUAAGAUGACCAAUACUCUCAUGUGUCUUAUGUGAUUUAUUAGGAUAUUUUCAACUUAGUGCGACUUAUUCGACUUAUUUUGACUUAUUUCAACUUAUUCGACUUAUUUCAGCUUAUUUAUCAAUGUAACAGUUCCAAGCUUUUAUAUUUUUAUUCUCGGGACGGUUCAAACUCGAAAAUCAACAUUUGUUUAUUAACAAGAACAUUUGCUCACCACAACUCAGAACUCAUCAAUUACAAAAUCUCAACCUAUAUCAUGUCAAUUAAUAACAUCCAUAUCAACAAAUAACUUUGUGACAUCAAUCAUAACAUUUUAACACAUCAUAUAAUUUCAGUAAUUAACAGAGCACGAAGAUUAGGAUUAAUAACAACUUAAAGAGAUUUUGCACAAACCCCUUAAAGGUUUAAUUCAUUUAUCAAUAGGGGGAACAUAAAAGAGAAAAAGGGAAAGAGGAUAAGGACUCCCCACUACCCCUCAUGAUUAACACCCAUAUAUUGAAUAAUCCUCCUACCUCAAAUUCGCAGAAAGGUUGAAGCUACAACAAUGGAAUUCCCAUUCUCCUUCAAAAGCUCUCAUAGGGUUGCCUCUUUCUCUCACCAACAUUUUCUCCCAAAAUUCUACAUAGUGGCAACUCUCUC
Molecule: long non-coding RNA, 3818 nt
Filed under: Lathyrus oleraceus (garden pea)
Lineage: Eukaryota; Viridiplantae; Streptophyta; Magnoliopsida; Fabales; Fabaceae
Description: Pisum sativum (pea) long non-coding RNA (PSAT_LNC034953)
Source: RNAcentral